CACAGACGGACAACAACCGCCGGAGAGCA
This 29-nucleotide small RNA is filed under the name Bombyx mori (domestic silkworm). Its description in RNAcentral is "ovarian small RNA-12907". Lineage: Eukaryota; Metazoa; Arthropoda; Insecta; Lepidoptera; Bombycidae. The record is from RNAcentral.